RNAcentral lists this ribosomal RNA (120 nucleotides) under Nitrososphaeria archaeon. Lineage: Archaea; Thermoproteati; Nitrososphaerota; Nitrososphaeria. The record is from RNAcentral.
UCAGCCGGCCAUAGUGAUGUGGGAUCUACCUGGUCUCGUCAGACCCCAGAAGUCAAACCAUAUCACGCCUUUGCGUUAGUGAUGUGCAGAAGCCAUCGCGAAGCGAAGGUGCCGGCGCCU